This 428-nucleotide ribosomal RNA is filed under the name uncultured Methanosaeta sp. Its description in RNAcentral is "bacterial SSU rRNA". It matches the Rfam family "Archaeal small subunit ribosomal RNA", at positions 88 to 517 of the family's 1478-position model. Lineage: Archaea; Methanobacteriati; Methanobacteriota; Methanomicrobia; Methanotrichales; Methanotrichaceae. The record is from RNAcentral.
GCUCAGUAACACGUGGACAACCUGCCCUUAGGACGGGGAUAAACCCGGGAAACUGGGUAUAAUACCCGAUAGGUCUCGAUUGCUGGAAUGCAUCGAGAUUUAAAGCUCCGGCGCCUAAGGAUGGGUCUGCGGCCUAUCAGGUAGUAGUGGGUGUAGCGUACCUACUAGCCUACGACGGGUACGGGUUGUGAGAGCAAGAGCCCGGAGAUGGAUUCUGAGACACGAAUCCAGGCCCUACGGGGUGCAGCAGGCGCGAAAACUUUACAAUGCUGGCAACAGCGAUAAGGGAACCUCGAGUGCCAGGGUACAAAUCUGGCUGUCGAGAUGCCUAAAAAGCAUUUCAUAGCAAGGGCCGGGCAAGACCGGUGCCAGCCGCCCCGGUACACCGGCGGCUCCAGUGGUAACCGUUUAUAUUUGGGUCUAAGGGG